AGCGAACGCUGGCGGCAGGCCUAACACAUGCAAGUCGAACGGAUCCUUCGGGAUUAGUGGCGGACGGGUGAGUAACACGUGGGAACGUGCCCUUUGGUUCGGAACAACUCAGGGAAACUUGAGCUAAUACCGGAUGUGCCCUUCGGGGGAAAGAUUUAUCGCCAUUGGAGCGGCCCGCGUCUGAUCAGCUAGUUGGUGAGGUAACGGCCCACCAAGGCGACGAUCAGUAGCUGGUCUGAGAGGAUGAUCAGCCACACUGGGACUGAGACACGGCCCAGACUCCUACGGGAGGCAGCAGUGGGGAAUCUUGCGCAAUGGGCGAAAGCCUGACGCAGCCAUGCCGCGUGAAUGAUGAAGGUCUUAGGAUUGUAAAAUUCUUUCAGCGGGGACGAUAAUGACGGUACCCGCAGAAGAAGCUCCGGCUAACUUCGUG
Molecule: ribosomal RNA, 433 nt
Filed under: uncultured bacterium
Lineage: Bacteria
Description: partial 16S ribosomal RNA
Rfam family: Bacterial small subunit ribosomal RNA
Source: RNAcentral